Long non-coding RNA from Mustela lutreola (European mink), 1510 nucleotides. RefSeq lists it as uncharacterized. NCBI's taxonomy places the organism in Eukaryota, Metazoa, Chordata, Mammalia, Carnivora, Mustelidae. The transcript has 3 exons. The record is from RefSeq and is a predicted model, not a curated record.
CCUGUUUUGCCCCGUCCAGGUUCGCUCGCACGUGAAAGCGGUGGGAUUCCGCCACGUGCGUUCUGAUGUGUGGGAUCCAAUCUAGCAAGGAGGCAGGACGGACAGGCCCAGUAUCACCGGGGAGAGCUGCAGUGUCGGGGCCCAGUGGCCGUGAAGGGAAGGUCCUGUGAUGUAACUUGGCUGGAGCCUCCCUGAGGAUCAUGUUAUCUGCAUAGUUGACUGCUUCCCGUGGGGAAUGUCAGAUGAGGACAGAGGCUGCACCUAUUUUGCAAGUACUGUGUCCUCAGUGCUUAGUCCAGAGUGCUUGACUCUUCAGGCAUCUGAAAAUACUCGACCGGGACUAGCGCCAGCGAGGAAGUCUCCGCACCCUGUCUGGAAGCUUGGAGUUGUCCCUCUCUUGUCUGGUUUCUCACAGACCCUCUGGUGCAGCCCAGGACUCCCCCCACGGGACCCCCAACCCUAUGGCCAGUGUUCAGGGACUAUCUGAGGACCCACUCCUGGGGGCUGUGACGUGCACUGUCCUCUUGCAACCCAGGGUGAUGGACCCACAGGGCAAUGAAGAGGUGUUGGAGAUAGCCCCAGACCUCAGGAUAAGUAAAAAAAAGCCACGAGACAGGAGGGUGUGUGUCAAAUGCUGCCGGUUAUGUUCCAAAAAGAGAGAAAAAACUGCCUCCCCACAGGGAUCUAUAAAUGCACAGACUGAAGGGUGCCUAGGAGAGGGACCAGGGAGAGCCAGGGGGCUGGGAGCACACACGUCUUUCCAAAUAGGAGGCACGGACCUAGUCAAAUAUAUAGUAUGAUUCAACAUUUUUUAAAAACCACCACUUUCUCUUCACCACCAUCACUUCCUUCCGUAGGAGACUGCAGCUGAGACCUGGGUGCAGGGUCGGGGUGCUGGGGAACCUCACAGUGAGAAAGGCUCAGAGGUUGCCCCUGCUUAAACGCAGCCCCACCCAGAAACAGUGCAUCCUUCCAAGCCCUGGCAACACAGCUCACCUGUGAGUGGGACACACAAGAUGGAAGCCAUAAAUAUGUAUUAACUUUGCUCAAGGAUAUGAAAACUAGUAAGAGGCUGGGACAGAGGACAAUGAGUGGGGGAAGAGGGGAGUGGCUGCUUCAGAGGUGACACCUCAAAGGCAAUCCCAGAUGCCAGCCACAGAAGGGUGUGCCAGGCCAAGGGCACAGCAAGUACAAGGGCCCUGGGGCCGGAUAGGGGCCGGUUUGCUGGAGCUGAAGAAACGGGAUACUGUGGUCCUGAUUACCACCUCAGCCUCAUUCUCUAAGGUAGGGCUGUGUCCACUGCCCCUCUGUGGUCUUCAGAUGAGACAGCAAGAGGCACAUACAUGCCCAAUUAAAGGAAGCUGAGGGGCACCUGGGUGGCUCAGUGGGUUAAGCCUCUGCCUUCCGCUCAGGUCAUGAUCUCGGAGGUCUAGGAUCCAGCCCCGCAUCGGGCUCUCUGCUCACCAGGGAGCCUGCUUCCCCCUCUCUCUCUGCCUGCCUACUUGUGCUC